AUCAUGGACUCGCAGACCGGGGCGCCGUUGUGGAUGAGCACUGGUAUCUUCUUGUGCACCGGGUUGGACUUGAGGAGAAGCUCGCUCUUCUUGUACAGGUCCUCCUCCACGUCCUCGUAGCUCAGGCCCUUCAGGGCGAGUGCCAGCUUCACCCUGGUAACAAACGGGCUUGGCCAUGUGCCGAGCAGCUUCAGGUCAUCUCGUCCGGCCAUCUCUAACUACCUCGAUCGAUGUUGUGUGUGUGUGUGUGUGUUUUGAAGACCUUGUGCUUGUGCUUAUUUUCGAUGGAUGUGUUUUGAAGACCUUGUGCUUGUGCUUAUUUUCGAUGGAUGUUUCACAGGUGGAUAAACUGUUUAUAUAGUGUCUAUGGACAACAUAUGUAUGCGUCAUCCCUGAUGCUACUUCGAGGACAGUGUCAUCCGUGAUGCCUGGGCGAUGAGCAUAUGAGCCUGUGUCUACUAGUCCGGCUAUGAAUUUUUAAAACUUUUACUAAAAAUCAGUUUCCUUCAAUCAUGCUUGACUGGAGAUGAGCCUGUCUUAAUUACUAGUAUUUUUUAUGCACCACCUGCUGAUGCCUCCCAUCGCGCAAGCCCUUCCGUCAGCACACCGUCCAUCCAGAUGUCAAUUUUUCGACUUUGCUGCGAGCAGAUGAUUAAAAAUACCGUAGCUACCCUCGUUCGGAAUUACUUGUCAUAAAAAUAGAUAUAAAAUAAAUAUAUUUAGAACUAAAAUACGUUCAGAAACAAUCAUUUCUUCGUCAAGUAUCUCCCGAUGGAGAGAGUAUUUACAAUAAAAUUCGCCUCAUUUGUCACUAAAUGUGGAGGUUGUAUCUGAAUUAAAAUUUCAGUUCUGCUAAAGCACAUCUAGAUGUGCUCUAAGGAUUGCACAUCUUAGUACUAUGUCAUUGAUUUUAUCUAAGACUCAUGCAAGCAUUUCUUUUGUCUUUUUCCUUUCUUUCUAGUUUAAUUGACUCGCUUAGAUGUGCAAUAAUUAGGGCAGACAAAACCUUAAAAUUUCAAUGACAUAAUUUAAAGAGACCACCUAUUCAACGGUUGCCUUUUUUUUGUUGCUUUUCGUCGAUUUCGCUCAAUCCAAACCUUCUGAAGAUUCUUCUUGGCCAGCUCCAGAUCAAGGUUGAGGCUGAUCUGUUUCUUCUCCAACUCAGCAAACCGGGCCCCGAGCUCACAAGAUUUCUGCGGUCAGCAAACAAGGCACGUCAGUCUACAGAAACAAAGGUUAAUCUCAGCAAAAAAAGUGUUCUAAGACUACCGCUGAAUCAAAAUAUUCAACAGUAGUCUCGCGGACUACGCCAAGUGGAUGCACUUGGCGUGCCCCUACUGGUCCAGUUUACCACUCAGCAUGGUCUGCCAAGCAUGAGUAUGCAAAAAAAUAGAGGGAUUCAAAGACCACAGCCGACUACCAGCAGUCGACCGUGGUCUCCGGGACUACACCUAGUUGGUGCACUCUGCGUGCCCCCGCUGGUCUGGAUUCCACUCGAAACAAGCUAUUCAACCGAGUGAAAGAACAAUGAAGUGACAUUCGACAAAGACCCCCGUCGAAUCAAACAUCCGACGGCGGACUUCGGGAUCAAAUUGAGAGAUCAGUCUGAAAUCAACUGACCUUGACAUUAACACGCAGAGCAGAGCUGGCGUUGUGGGCAGCCUGGCUGGCCUCGUGCACCACCUUCAUCUGCUCCAUCAUAACGUUUGCUUGGAGUAUGGCUUCCUUGGCGGCACCCGCCGGGUCAUUUGGAGUGUGAUGUGCAGCAAAGAGCGACGAUGGCAGUACAGUCAGAGCAAUCACAGGAUCUGAAGCAUGGAACUGUGUAGGAGAAGCAGAGACUUGAGCAAUCGACGCCGAGGGAUGGUCAGUCGACACAAGAUUGGCAAAAGAAAUAGUGGCCCGAGUCGGAUCUCCGAAUCACUGGACCACCGUCUCUGGUGCCGAUGUCGACUGAGGCUCCUGGCCUACAACCGUCCUCCCGCUCGAAGCCCUGCCCCUCCUUCCUGUAUUCUUCUAAGGCGCUUCUUCAUCGUCGUCUGGAAGUUUAAUGACGUCCCGUGGGGCUACACAAAAUGCAACCAUAGAGGCUCAAUUGACCAGCAAUUCAGUCGACAAAACAAGCACAAGAUUACAGGAUCGUACCAGCUUUGGAAGUUGCCGCAUCUUCAGUCUCCUCAUCAUCUUAAGCCUUGUCAAUAUCCAUGGAAGUCCCGGAAGUUGCAGCACUGAAAAAUUCAUAGCCCACUCGGUCAUAGCUGAAGUAUGAGUCAGUAGGAGAACACAGAGACAGAACACUCACGCAGAAGCGACGGGAACGUCCAUCUUGAUCCUGGGCAAGGUCUUCUGAGGCUUUGAAGGGGAAACCUUGGGCUGCUUGGUGACCUUUUCUGACGGCUCCGGUCCGAGUGCGCUUAUGCACUUGCGUGCUCGGAGCCACAGCCUUGUUGCGGCCUCCCGCUGGAUCAUGAGACUGCUUGGAUCGGCGCUCUGUGCGAGGUGGUGAGUCGACCUCCUCUUCUUCGUCGUCUGACUCAUCACUCUCUUCCUCAUCAUCAUCAUCAGAAGAUUGCCAGUCGGCGCUCUCCUCUGCGCUAUCUGCUUCCUCCUGGACUUGCUCCUGGGCUUGCUCCCUGUUCGACAUCGAAUACAUCUUAGUAUAGACCUGCAAGGCAAGAAGUUAAUCAAACAUCAGUCAUAUUCAAAGACGGUUGCAAGACAGAAUGAAGUACACUCGGUAAUAAGGAUCGGACCUUGUCCGGCUGGUUGUCAACGUUGAAUGGAUCGACUUUCCUGGCCCCCCUAGGGUUAUCUUUGUUUUCGGUAAUGCUCUUCAGCCACAGGGCCACCAUCUCGUCGGGGACCUCCUCUGGGUGGACCCGAGCGGUGUCAUUGGAGCCCAAGUACAUCCACAUCGAAUGAUCACGGGCUUGUAGCAGCUGGAUGCAUCGACUGAGAAACACUUCCAAUAAAUCCAUGUCAGUUACGCCCUGAGGGACCAACUGAACUACCCUCUCGACUAACAUGUUUGUCUCUACUCUCUCCGCUUUGGUCACAAUCAGUGAACAAGGUUGCUGGACUCGAUCUAGGGUAAAGGGAGGAAGAUCGGUCGACUGACCGGGGGUCGGAAUGUCUCGCAGUAGAACAAGGUCAACUGCCAGCCCCUAACCGACUCAGGAAGGGUCAAAGGGGGAAAAGUGCUCCUCUUCCUCAUCUGAAUCCCUAAACCCCCGCACAUUUGAAUCACAUGCAUCCUCUCGUCAGUCGGAUUUUCCUUCUUCACGGUUUGGGAACGAACUGUGAAAAUAUGUUUGAAGAGACCCCAGUGCGGUCUACAGCCCAAGAAGUUUUCGCACAUAGAAACGAAUGCAGCAAGGUAUGUGAUGGUGUUGGGAGAGAAAUGGUGAAGCUGAGCACCGAAAAAGUUCUGAAACCCUGUAAGAAAGGAUGCGGGGCAAGGGAGAACCCACGGUCGACAUGGGUGGCAAGGAGGACGCACUCACCCGCCCGCGGCUGAGGCUCUAUCUCGUCCCCCGGCAGCCUCGAAGUCCCGUCAGCAAUCAAGCCCAUGGAGGCCAGAUCUUCCAGAUCCUCUGGCCGGAGCGUGGAUCGGAUCCAGUCCCCCUGGAUCCAACCAGGCGGCAUCCCAGACCUUGACGAUGAUCCCCGACUCGUUUUCUUGCCCUUCGCUGUCGUCGUCGCUUUCUUCGCUCACUCCAGUGCCGCCGUCUUAUCCUUCACCACUGUGGCAGGCUGCGCACGGGCGGAGCGACGGCGUCAAGGGCGAAAGAGGACGCGGUGGAGAAGCAGAGGAAGAAGAAGGGGAAUGGGAGUGCACUGUGCAAAUGCAUCGGCCUUGACACCUUUUAUGGGCCUACUUCCGAGUGGCUGACGAGUGGGCCCGAGCGAUCCUGUCAAAUCCCGCAAUAGUCACGCACCGAACACGCGGCGAAAAAGGUGGCAUAGAAAUCGAGGCGCCCAUGUCUAUCCGUCCCGUUUACUGUGGCGCGCUCCACCUCGCGCGCUUCCCCAAAUUUUCAGAUCCCGUGAGAUCCGGGAACCGCAGUAACCAAUCGUGCCGAAGAUUUCACACCAUAUCAACACUCGAAGGUUGCCAGCAUAAGUUCAGUCGACGACCUCUGAAUCGAUCAAGGUGACUGAAAUGAAGUCGAAGUUUCAGCAUGAACCUCGAGCUCAACAAGAAUGCCUAUGAAGCAUAAGAGUCAAGUCAAGGUCAACUUCAACUCGCUAUCGGACCUCAAUCCAUUCGGGGGCUAAUGACGAUGCCAUGAACCUAUGAUAGGGUCAUAGGUCUGACCUAUACGCCCUACCCAAGGUCAGUACCCUAGAGUCAAGGACAUUCAAAGUAUAGCAAGAAGUACUGACUGAAGCCGUCGAGUGCAAUCCACUCGACCAGUCACCUCACCCGGAUACCCCAAUUUCACUCGACCUGGAUGGAGUCAUUUGACCAUACAGGAAACCACUCGGAGUACAGAAGACCUAGAGUCACUCAUGAUGGCAACGGUCAGGCGUUCACUCUGUAGUCUUAAAGAUCAUUAAUAGCAUUUUAUAGCCGGCGUUACCACUAACGCUCUGUCUUAAUGUACAUUGAACCCCUGUAACGGAGGACGCAUGGGGUCCUGGCGCAGUGUAUAUAAGCCACCCCCUCCUCUGGGACAAGGGUUCGCACCCCUUGUAACACACCCAUAUUCCAGUCGACCGUCUUAGGGCACCGAGACGUAGGGCUUUUACCUCCUUCAAGAGGGGCCUGAACUCGUAAACUUGUGCGUACAAUCUCGCCGUAACUAGGGCCUUGCCUCCUCAUACGUACCCCCUACUCUUACUGUCAGACUUACAACCACGACAGAUAGUUAGUGAUAUUCUAUUUAAGCUAAUCUCUUGUCUCUAUCUCCCCUUGUAGUCCUCCUGCGGUUAGCCUGGCUGCCGAAUACUGUAACCUACGAGAGACAUCUCUCGAUCAGAUCAAUAUAAACCAAUGUGAGUCCUCUAUUUGAGAGUUGAGAUGCUUCCACAAUCUUCACAUGGUAAUCAAAGCCUCCCUCUUCCACUGCAUCUAGCAACCAUCUUCUCAAUCGCAUCAUCCAGCCUCCCAUCUUCCCAUCACACCCACUAUUUCUUUCUCCAGCCAAACUAUCUCCACCAGCCUGAACAAUACCAUCUCCGAGCCUCUCACAAGAACCAACUAUAUUCUAUCGUGAGCCCAAGCUCGCUCCCAGAUCAUGGGGACAGGGCUAUAUGGGUAUGUCGAUCAAACCAUUGCCGAGACACCAAAAACCAUUGUUACCAAAACCUCCGAAGGGAAGGAACAAACCGUUCCUAAUCCGGCCCAUAGCCCUUGUCUUACUCAAGAUGCAGCGGACAUUCGGACAAGGAGGACGCAGAAUAAGUCCGGUUGUGUCCGCUUCGGACCCAAAUCUGACCCAAUUUGCAACGAAAAUGGGUCCAAACGCAAACAAAACGAACAGAAAAUGGGAAUGGGUGUCCGCUUGGGCAUCUUUUUCGUCCGGGCGGACAUAAACGGAUGCGGCCGGACCAAAUGGGUCGCCGCAUUGGAGAUGCUCUAAGAGAUUGGAAAUUUUCUAUGGACCUACCCGCAACCAUGCUAGGUAGUAGUAUGAUGGAUUGUUUUCGGUAUGUCUGUCAUCUGAUCAUCGAUGUAUGGUUGAGAGGCAUUUGGUUCUCUUUAGCGAAUUACACCAAAAUAUAUUUUCCUAGACUUUCGACUGCUACAAAAUUUAAGCCCCCAACUUGUUUUCUACUCUGCAUUGAGAGGUUUGGGGUCUUGCCAAAAGUUGGAGGUGUUGGUGCUAUUUUUAUUUUAUUUUAUUUUUCAAAAAUAUAUAUUUUAUUUUUGAGGUGGCUGACCAAAUUACCUCGAUUGAGAAGUCUUUCAAGAAAUCAUUUUUGCUGGAUUGAGGCUAAUCCGAGGGGUUUUGCGUGCCUCUUUUGAAACGUCUUAUGAACUACAACAGCAUGAUUGAUCAACAAACGGUCACUCAAAUAUAUCUGCAUUUCCAUAGCAAAGGUGCGAAGAAAUAUUGACUAUUUCUCCUUUACUUGGUCUAGCCCAAGUAUCACAACGAUGAAUGAAAUAUAUAUAAAUUCAGACCAAAUUUACCAUAAAGCAAUUUGUAAGCAUUUUGCUGGUAGAUUAAAAAAACUGUCGAACUCAUCUCUUGAAUCAGAAAGAGAACCUCAGCUAAUACAUGCACGCAUUAUAAAAUUUGCGAACUCCACACAAAAGCAAAAUAUUAAAAACUCAAGGACAUAAUCAACACUGAAUAAAUGGACGACAUGAGUUACUGCUACAUUAUUACAUCAAGCAGCCAAACAAACAACAUUUAAAAAUAGCAAAUUUUAGUUAUUCUGGAUGUGUGCUGGCUCAGUUAGACGGUGCAGCGGCAGCCUCUCGUGCCUUGGCGAACUCAAGCAGCCUGCCCACGUCUGGCAGGGCCACCUUGGCCGCGUCGAGCUCGCUGAAGCGCUCCACCCAUGCGGCCAGGAGCGGGGUCUUGGCGGCAUCGAAGAUCUUGUCACCGGACAACACCUCGGUCACCUUCAUCCACGACAGCACGCCUCCCAGCGCAACGUCGACGAGCCCGAGGCCGUCGCCGCCGAAGAAGCCCCCUCCCUUGGAGCAUUCCCUCAGGGCCCCUUCAAGAAUCUCCACCGCCGCGAACGCCUGCUUCUUUCCCUCGGAUUUCUCCUCCUCUGUCUUGCCACUCAACCACUGCCUUCAUGGGGCUACCAGCUGAAACACGGAGAAAAAUAAUGGUCAAAGUUGCUCGUUCGAUAUCUAAAAGUAAAGGAACGGAGACAAGUAGUGCAAGUAAGUGAAGAUAAUUUAAACUUUGUCGUCAACGUAGGCCAUCCAGAAGCGAGCAAUGGCGCGCUCGUAGGGGUCCGCUGGGAGAAGGGACGGGCCGGUGCCGGCGAAGACUUCGUCAAUGUACUGCAGAAUGAUCAUGGACUCGCAGACCGGGGCGCCGUUGUGGAUGAGCACUGGUAUCUUCUUGUGCACCGGGUUGGACUUGAGGAGAAGCUCGCUCUUCUCGUACAGGUCCUCCUCCACGUCCUCGUAGCUCAGGCCCUUCAGGGCGAGUGCCAGCUUCACCCUGGUAACAAACGGGCUUGGCCAUGUGCCGAGCAGCUUCAGGUCAUCUCGUCCGGCCAUCUCUAACUACCUCGAUCGAUGUUGUGUGUGUGUGUGUGUGUGUUUUGAAGACCACUGAGAUUGCUUUAGCUGCUUGUGCUUGUGCUUAUUUUUGAUGGAUGUUUCACAGGUGGAUAAACUGUUUAUAUAGUGUCUAUGGACAACAUAUGUAUGCGUCAUCCCUGAUGCUACUUCGAGGACAGUGUCAUCCGUGAUGCCUGGGCGAUGAGCAUAUGAGCCUGUGUCUACUAGUCCGGCUAUGAAUUUUUAAAACUUUUACUAAAAAUCAGUUUCCUUCAAUCAUGCUUGACUGGAGAUGAGUCUGUCUUAAUUACUAGUAUUUUUUAUGCACUACCUGCUGCUGCCCCCCAUCGGGCAAGCCCUUCCGUCAGCACACCGUCCAUCCAGAUGUCAAUUUUUCGACUUUGCUGCGAGCAGAUGAUUAAAAAUACCGUAGCUACCCUCGUUUGAAAUUACUUGUCAUAAAAAUAGAUAUAAAAUAAAUAUAUUUAGAAGUAAAAUACGUUCAGAAACAAUCAUUUCUUCGUCAAGUAUCUCCCAAUGGAGAGAGUAUUUACAAUAAAAUUCGCCUCAUUUGUCACUGAAUGUGGAGGUUGUAUCUGAAUUAAAAUUUCAGUUCUGCUAAAGCACAUCUAGAUGUGCUCUAAGGAUUGCACAUCUUAGUACUAUGUCAUUGAUUUUAUCUAAGACUCAUGCAAGCAUUUCUUUUGUCUUUUUCCUUUCUUUCUAGUUUAAUUGACUCGCUUAGAUGUGCAAUAACUAGGGCAGACAAAACCUUAAAAUUUCAAUGACAUAAUUUAAAGAGACCACCUAUUCAACUGUUGCCUUUUUUUUGUUGCUUUCGUCGAUUUCGCUCAAUCCAAACCUUCUGAAGAUUCUUCUUGGCCAGUUCCAGAUCAAGGUUGAGGCUGAUCUGUUUCUUCUCCAACUCAGCAAACCGGGCCCCGAGCUCAAAAGAUUUCUGCGGUCAGGAAACAAGGCACGUCAGUCGACAGAAACAAUGAUUAAUCUCAGCAAAAAAAAGUGUUCUAAGACUACCGCUGAAUCAAAAUAUUCAACAGUAGUCUCGCGGACUACGCCCAGUGGGUGCACUUAGCGUGUCCCCACUGGUCCAGUUUACCACUCAGCAUGGUCUGCCAAGCAUGAGUAUGCAAAAAAAAUAGAGGGAUUCUCAGACGCCAGCCGACUGCCAGCAGUCGACCGUGGUCUCGGGGACUACACCUAAUUGGUGCACUCUGCGUGCCCCCGCUGGUCUGGAUUCCACUCGAAACAAGCUAUUCAACCGAGUGAAAGAACAAUGAAGUGACAUUCGACAAAGACCCCCGUCGAAUCAAACAUCCGACGGCGGUCUCGUGGACUACACCCAGUGGGUGCACUUUGUGUGCCCCCACUGGUUCAGAGAUACACUCGACUCAAUUUGGUCGACCCAAGUAGAAGAGUUAUUCAACACCAAGUUAAAACACCCAGUGGGUGAUUAAAUGAAAAAUGCAGACUCAUGAUAGAUGCACAUAAAAGGUUCCAAAACGCUCAUCCAGAGACAUCUUACGGACAGUGAAGCAGCAGCUACAGCUACUAUAUCAUAGCAAGGCAAAAAUCAAAUUGAGAGAUAAGUCCGAAAUCAACUGACCUUGACAUUAACAUGCAGAGCAGAGCUGGUGUUGUAGGCAGCCUGGCAGGCCUCAUGCACCACCUUCAUCUGCUCCAUCAUAACAUUUUCUUGGAGUAUGGCUUCCUUGGCGGCACCCGUCGGGUCAUCUGGAGUGUGAUGUGCAGCAAAGAGCGAUGAUGGCAGUACAGUCGGAGCAAUCACAGGAUCUGAAGCAUGGAGUUGUGCAGGAGAAGCAGAGACUUGAGCAACCGACGCCGAGGGACGGUCAGUCGGCACAAGAUUGGCAAAAGAAACAGUGGCCUAAGUCGGAUCUCCGAAUCACUGGACCACCGUCUCUGGUGCCGAUGUCGACUGAGGCUCCUGGCCUACAACCGUCCUCCCGCUCAAAGACCUGCCCCUCCUUCUUGUAUUCUUCUAAGGCGCUUCUUCAUCGUCGUUUGGAAGUUCAAUGACGUCCCGUGAGGCUACACAAAAUGCAACCAUAGAGACUCAAUUGACCAACAAUUCAGUCGACAAAACAAGCACAAGAUUACAGGAUCGUACCAGCUUUGGAAGUAGCCGCAUCUUCAGUCUCCUCACCAUCUUAAGCCUUGUCAAUAUCCAUGGAAGUCCCGGAAGUUGCAGAACUGAAAAAUUCAUAGCCCACUCGGUCAUAGCAGAAGUAUGAGUCAGUAGGAAAACAAAGAGAGACAGAACACUCACACAAAAGCGACGGGAACGUCCAUCUUGAUCCUGGGCAAGGUCUUCCGAGGCUUUGAAGGGGCAACCUUGGGCUGCUUGGUGACCUUUUCUGACGGCUCCGGUCCGAGUGCGCUUAUGCACUUGCGUGCUUGGAGCCACAGCCUUGUUGCGCCCACCCGCUGGAUCAUGAGACUGCUUGGAUCGGUGCUCUGUGCGAGGUGGUGAGUCGACCUCCUCUUCUUCGUCAUCCGACUCAUCACUCUCUUCCUCAUCAUCAUCAUCAUCAGGAGAUUGCCAGUCGGCGCUCUCCUCUGUGCUAUCCGCUUCCUCCUGGACUUGCUCCUGGGCUUGCUCCCCGUUCGACAUCGAAUACAUCUUAGUAUAGACCUGCAAGGCAAGAAGUUAAUCAAACAUCAGUCAAAUUCAAAGACGGUUGCAAGACAAAAUGAAGUACACUCGGUAAUAAGGAUCGGACCUUGUCCGGCUGGUUGUCAGCGUCGAAUGGAUCCACUCUCCUGGCCCUCCUAGGGUUAUCUUUGUUUCUGCUAAUGCUCUUCAGCCACAGGGACACCGUCUCAUCGGGGACCUCCUCUGGGUGGACCCGAGUGGUGUCAUUGGAGCCCGAGUACAUCCACAUCGAAUGAUCACGGGCUUGUAGCAGCUGGAUGCAUCGACUGAGAAACACUUCCAAUAAAUCCAUGUCAGUUACCCUUGAUGGACCAACUGAACUACCCUCUCGACUAACAUGUUCGUCUCUACUCUCUCCGCUUCGGUCACAAUCAGUGAAGAAGGUUGCUGGACUCGAUCUAGGGUAAAGGGAGGAAGACCGGUCGACUGACCGGGGGUCGGAAUGUCUGGCAGUAGAACAAGGUCAACUGCCAGCCCCUAACCGACUCAGGAAGGGUCAUAGGGAGAAAAGUGCUUUUUUUCCUCAUCUGAAUCCCUAAACCCCCGCACAUUUGAAUCACAUGCGUCCUCUCGUCAGUCGGAGUUGCCUUCUUCACGGUUUGGGAACGAACUAUGAAAAUAUGUUUGAAGAGACCCAGUGCGUUCUACAGCCCAAGAAGCUUUUGCACAUAGAAAUGAAUGCAGCAAGGUAUGAGAUGGUGUUGGGAGAGAAAUGGUGAAGCUGAGCACCGAAAAAGUUCUGAAAACCCCGUAAGAAAGGAUGCGGGGAAAGGGAGAACCCACGGUCGACAUGGGUGGCAAGGAAGACGCACUCACCCGCCCGCGGCUGAGGCUCUAUCUCGUCCCCGGGCAGCCUCAAAGUCCCGUCGGCAAUCAAGCCCAUGGAGGCCAGAUCUUCCAGAUCCUCUGGCCGGAGCAUGGAUCGGAUCCAGUCCCCCUGGAUCCAACUAGGCGGCAUCCCGGACCUUGACGAUGAUCCCCGACUCGUCUUCUUGCCCUUCGCCGUCGCCGUUGCUUUCUUCGCACAGUCCAGAGCCGCCGUCUUAUCCUUCACCAUUGUGGCGGGCUGCACGGGCGGAGCGGCGGCAUCAAGGGCGAAAGAGGACGCGGUGGAGAAGCAGAGGAAGAAGAAGGGGAAUGGGAGUGCACUAUGCAUAUGCAUCGGCCUCGACGCCUUUUAUGGGCCUACUUCCGAGUGGCUGACAUGUGGGCCCGAGCGAUCCUGUCAAAUCUUGCAAUAGUCGUGCACCGAAUACAUGGCGAAAAAGGUGGCACAGAAAUCGAGGCGCCCAUGUCUAUCCGUCCCGUUUACUGCGGCGCGCUCCACCUCACGCGCUUCCCCAAAUUUUCGGAUCCCGUGAGAUCCGGGAACCGCAGUAACCAAUCGUGCCGAAGAUUUCACACCAUAUCAACACUCGAAGAUUGCCAGCAUAAGUUCACUCGACGACCUCUGAAUCGAUCAAGGCGACUGAAAUGAAGUCGAAGUUUCAGCAUGAACCUCGAGCUCAACAAGAAUGCCUAUGAAGCAUAAGAGUCAAGUCAAGGUCAACUUCAACUCUCUAUCGGACCUCAAUCCAUUCAGGGGCUAAUGACGAUGCCAUGAACCUAUGAUAGGGUCAUAGGUCUGACCUAUACGCCCUACCCAAGGUCACUACCCUAGAGUCAAGGACAUUCAAAGUAUAGCAAGAAGUACUGACUGAAGCCGUCGAGUGCAAUCCACUCGACCAGUCACCUCACCCGGAUACCCCAAUUUCACUCGACCUGUAUGGAGUCAUUUGACCAUACAGGAAACCACUCGGAGUACAGAAGACCUAGAGUCACUCAGGAUGGCAACGGUCAGGCAUUCACUCUGUAGUCUUAAAGAUCAUUAAUAGCACUUUAUAGCUGGCGUUACCAGUAAUGCUCUGUCUUAAUGUACAUUGAACCCCUGUAACGGAGGACGCAUGGGGUCCUGGCGCACUCUAUACAAGCCACCCCCCUCCUCUGGGACAAGGGUUCGCACCCCUUGUAACACACACCCAUAUUCCAGUCGACCGCCUCAGGGCACCGAGACGUAGGGCUUUUAUUGGAAAUAUGCCCUAGAGGCAAUAAUAAAAUGAUUAUUAUUAUAUUUCCUUGUUCAUGAUAAUUGUCUUUUAUUCAUGCUAUAAUUGUGUUAUCCGGAAAUCGUAAUGCAUGUGUGAAUACAUAGACCACAACAUGUCCCUAGUAAGCCUCUAGUUGACUAGCUUGUUGAUCAACAGAUAGUCAUGGUUUCCUGACUAUGGACAUUGGAUGUCGUUGAUAACGGGAUCACAUCAUUAGGAGAAUGAUGUGAUGGACCAGACCCAAUCCUAAGCAUAGCACAAGAUCGUGUAGUUUGUUUGCUAGAGCUUUUACAAUGUCAAGUAUCUUUUCCUUAGACCAUGAGAUCGUGUAACUCCCGGAUACCGUAGGAGUGCUUUGGGUGUACCAAACGUCACAACGUAACUGGGUGACUAUAAAGGUAUACUACGGGUAUCCCCAAAAGUAUCUGUUGGGUUGACACAGAUCGACACUGGGAUUUGUCACUCCGUAUGACGGAGAGGUAUCUCUGGGCCCACUCGGUAAUGCAUCAUCAUAAUGAGCUCAGAGUGACCAAGUGUUUGGUCACGGGAUCAUGCAUUACGGUACGAAUAAAGUGACUUGCCGGUAACGAUAUUGAACGAGGUAUUGGGAUACCGACGAUCGAAUCUCGGGCAAGUAACAUACCGAUUGACAAAGGGAAUUGUACACGGGGUUACUUGAAUCCUCGACAUCGUGGUUCAUCCGAUGAGAACAUCGAGGAGCAUGUGGGAGCCAAUAUGGGUAUCUAGAUCCCGCUGUUGGUUAUUGACCGGAGAGUCGUCUCGGUCAUGUCUGCAUGUCUUCCGAACCCGUAGGGUCUACACACUUAAGGUUCGGUGACGCUAGGGUUGUAGAGAUAUUAGUAUGCGAAAGUUGUUCGGAGUCCCGGAUGAGAUCCCGGACGUCACGAGGAGUUCCAGAAUGGUCCGGAGGUAAAGAAUUAUAUAUAGGAAGUCAGGUUUCGGCCAUCAGGAAAGUUUUGAGGGUCACUGGUAUUGUACCGGGACCACCGGAAGGGUCCCGGGGGUCCACCGGGUGGGGCCACCUAUCCCAGAGGGCCCCAUGGGCUGAAGUGGGAGGGGAACCAGCCCCUGGUGGGCUGUUGCGCCCCCCCCCCCCCUUAGGGGGCAAGUUUCCCCCCUGGCCGCCGCCCCCCUUGGAGAUUGCAUCUCCUAGGGCCGGCGCUCCCCCUAGGGGCGCUAUAUAAAGAAGGGGGAGGGAGGGCAGCCGCACCCGUGCUCUUGGCGCCUCCCUCUCCCUCCACAACACCUCUCCCUUUCGUAGUGCUUGGCGAAGCCCUGCCAAGAUCGCUGCUGCAUCCACCACCACGCCGUCGUGCUGCUGGAUCUCCAUCAACCUCUCCUUCCCCCUUGCUGGAUCAAUAAGGAGGAGACGUCUUUCCCAACAGUAUGUGUGUUGAACGCAGAGGUGCUGGCCGUUCAGCACUAGGACCUUCGGUGAUUUGGAUCAUGACGAGUACGACUCCCUCAACCCCGUUCUCUUGAACGCUUCUGCUCGCGAUCUACAAGGGUAUGUAGAUGCACUCCUCUCUCUCGUUGCUAGAUGAACUCCAUAGAUUGAUCUUGGUGAAGCAUAGAAAAUUUUUAUUUUCUGCAACGUUCCCCAACAGUGGUAUCAGAGCUAGGUCUAUGCGUAGUUUCUUUGCACGAGUAUAACACAAAUUUGUUGUGGGAGUAGAUGUUGUCAAUUUUCUUGCCACUACUAGUCUUAUUUUGCUUCGGCGGCAUCGUGGGAUGAAGCGUCCCGGACCGACCUUACACGUACGCUUACAUGAGACAGGUUCCACCGACUGACAUGCACUAGUUGCAUAAGGUGGCUAGCGGGUGUCUGUCUCUCCCACUUUAGUUGGAGCGGAUUCGAUGAAAAGGGUCCUUAUGAAGGGUAAAUAGAAAUUGGCAUAUCACAUUGUGGCUUUCACGUAGGUAAGAAAACGUUUUUGCUAGAACCCUAUUGCAGCCACGUAAAACAUGCAACAACAAUUAGAGGACGUCUAACUUGUUUUUGCAGCAUAUGCCUUGUGAUGUGAUAUGGCCAAAAGUUGUGAUGAAUGAUAUAUAUGUGAUGUAUGAGAUCAUGUUCUUGUAAUAGGAAUCACGACUUGCAUGUCGGUGAGUAUGACAACCGGCAGGAGCCAUAGGAGUUGUCUUAAUUAUUGUAUGACCUGCGUGUCAAUGAUCAAACGCCAUGUAAUUACUUUACUUUAUUGCUAAACCGUUAGCCAUAGUAGUAGAAGUAAUAGUUGGCAAGCAACUUCAUGGAGACACGAUGAUGGAGAUCAUGGUGUCAUGCCGGUGCCGAAGAUGAUCAUGGCACCCCGAAGACGGAGAUCAAAGGAGCUAUAUGAUAUUGGCCAUAUCAUGUCACUAUUUGAUUGCAUGUGAUGUUUAUCAUGUUUUUGCAUCUUGUUUACUUAGAACGACGGUAGUAAAUAAGAUGAUCCCUCAUAAUAAUUUCAAGAAAGUGUUCCCCCUAACUGUGCGCCGUUGCGAAAGUUCGUUGUUUCGAAGCACCACGUGAUGAUCGGGUGUGAUAGAUUCCAACGUUCACAUACAACGGGUGUAAGACAAAUUUACACAUGCAUAAACACUUAGGUUAACUUGACGAGCCUAGCAUGUACAGACAUGGCCUCGGAACACAUGAGACCGAAAGGUCGAACAUGAGUCGUAUGGAAGAUACGAUCAACAUGGAGAUGUUCACCGAUGAUGACUAGUCCGUCUCACGUGAUGAUCGGACACGACCUAGUCGACUCGGAUCAUGUAACACUUAGAUGACUAGAGGGAUGUCUAAUCUGAGUGGGAGUUCAUUAAAUAAUUUGAUUAGAUGAACUUAAUUAUCAUGAACUUAGUCUAAAAACCUUUGCAAAAAAUGUCUUGUAGAUCAAAUGGCCAACACUCAUGUCAACCUCAACUUCAACGCGUUCCUAGAGAAAACCAAGCUGAAAGAUGAUGGCAGCAACUAUACGGACUGGGUCCGGAACCUGAGGAUCAUCCUCAUAGCUGCCAAGAAAGCAUAUGUCCUAGAAGGACCGCUAGGUGAAGCACCCAUCCCAGAGAACCAAGACGUUAUGAACGCUUGGCAGUCACGUGCUGAUGAUUACUCCCUCGUUCAGUGCGGCAUGCUUUACAGCUUAGAACCGGGGCUCCAAAAGUGUUUUGAGCAACACAGAGCAUAUGAGAUGUUCGAGGAGCUGAAAAUGGUUUUUCAAGAUCGUGCCCGAGUCGAGAGAUAUGAAGUCUCCGAAAAGUUCUAUAGUUGUAAGAUGGAGGAAAAUAGUUCUGUCAGUGAGCACAUACUCAAAAUGUCUGGGUUGCACAACCGCUUUUCCCAGCUGGACAUUAACCUCCCGGAUGAGGCGGUCAUUGACAGAAUCCUUCAGUCACUCCCACCUAGCUACAAGAGCUUUGUAAUGAACUACAAUAUGCAGGGGAUGGUGAAAACUAUUCCUGAAGUAUUUUCAAUGCUGAAGUCAGCGGAGGUGGAAAUCAAAAAGGAACAUCAAGUGUUGAUGGUCAAUAAAACCACUAAGUUCAAGAAAGGCAAGGGUAAGAAGAACUUCUAGAAGGACGGCAAGGAAGUUGCCGCGUCUGGUAAGUCAGUUACCGGGAAGAAGUCAAAGAAUGGACCCAAGCCUGAGACUGAGUGCUUUUAUUGCAAAGGGAAGGGUCACUGGAAGCGGAAUUGCCCCAAAUACUUAGCGGACAAGAAGGUCGGCAAGACUAAAGGUAUAUGUGAUAUACAUGUAACUGAUGUGUACCUUACCAGUACUCGUAGUAUCUCCUGGGUAUUUGAUACCUGUGCGGUUGCUCAUAUUUGUAACUCAAAGCAGGAGCUGCGGAAUAAGCGAAGACUGGUGAAGGACGAGGUGACGAUGCGCGUCAGGAAUGGUUCCAAGGUCGAUGUGAUCGCCGUCGGCACGCUUCCUCUACAUUUACCUACGGGAUUAGUUUUAAACCUCAAUAGUUGUUAUUUAGUGCCAGCUUUGAGCAUGAACAUUGUAUCUAGAUCUCGUUUAAUGCGAGAUGGAUACUCAUUUAAAUCUGAGAAUAAUGGUUGUUCUAUUUAUAUGAGAGAUAUGUUUUAUGGUCAUUCCCCGCUGGUCAAUGGUUUAUUCUUAAUGAAUCUCGAACGUAAUGUUACACAUAUUCAUAGUGUGAAUACCAAAAGAUAUAAGGUUGAUAACGAUAGUCCCACAUACUUGUGGCACUGCCGCCUUGGUCACAUUGGUGUCAAGCGCAUGAAGAAGCUGCAUGCUGAUGGGCUUUUAGAGUCUCUCGAUUAUGAAUCAUUUGACACAUGCGAACCAUGCCUCAUGGGCAAAAUGACCAAGACUCCGUUCUCCGGAACAAUGGAGCGAGCAACCAACUUAUUGGAAAUCAUACAUACUGAUGUGUGCGAUCCAAUGAGCGUUGAGGCUCGCGGAGGCUAUUGUUAUGUUCUCACUCUCACUGAUGACUUAAGUAGAUAUGGGUAUGUCUACUUGAUGAAACACAAGUCUGAGACCUUUGAAAAGUUCAAGGAAUUUCAGAAUGAGGUAGAGAAUCAACGUGACCGAAAAAUAAAGUUUUUACGAUCAGAUCAUGGAGGAGAAUAUUUUAGUCACGAAUUUGGUACGCACUUAAGGAAAUGUAGAAUUGUUUCACAACUCACGCCGCCUGGAACACCUCAGCAUAACGGUGUGUCCGAACGUCGUAAUCGCACUCUAUUGGAUAUGGUGCGAUCUAUGAUGUCUCUUACCGAUUUAUCGCUAUCAUUUUGGGGAUACGCUCUAGAGACAGCUACAUUCACUUUAAAUAGGGCACCGUCUAAAUCCAUUGAGACGACACCGUAUGAAUUAUGGUUUGGGAAGAAACCUAAGCUGUCGUUUCUAAAAGUUUGGGGAUGCGAUGCUUAUAUUAAGAAACUUCAACCUGAAAAGCUCGAACCCAAGUCGGAAAAAUGCGUCUUCAUAGGAUAUCCUAAGGAAACCAUUGGGUAUACCUUCUACCUUAGAUCCGAAGGCAAGAUCUUUGUUGCCAAGAACGGGUCCUUUCUGAAGAAAGAGUUUCUCUCGAAAGAAGUAAGUGGGAGGAAAGUAGAACUCGAUGAAGUACUACCUCUUGAACAGGAAAGUAGUGCAGCUCAGGAAAAUGUUCCUGUGGUGCCUACACUGAUUGGAGAGGAAAUUAAUGGUAAUGAUCAAAGUACUUCGGAUCAAGUUGCUACUGAACUUUGUAGGUCCACAAGGACACGUUCCACACCAGAGUGGUAUGGCAACCCUGUCCUGGAAAUCAUGUUGUUAGACAACGGUGAACCUUCGAACUAUGAAGAAGCGAUGGCGGGCCCAGAUUCCAACAAAUAGCUUGAAGCCAUUCAAUCCGAGAUAGAAUCCAUGUAUGAAAACAAAGUAUGGACUUUGACAGACUUGCCCGAUGAUCGGCGAGCGAUAGAAAAUAAAUGGAUCUUUAAGAAGAAGACGGACGCGGAUGGUAAUGUUACCAUCUAUAAAGCUCGACUUGUCGCUAAGGGUUAUCGGCAAGUUCAAGGGGUUGACUACGAUGAGACUUUCUCUCCCGUAGCGAAGCUGAAGUCCGUCCGAAUCAUGUUAGCAAUUGCCGCAUACUAUGAUUAUGAGAUAUGGCAAAUGGACGUCAAAACGGCAUUCCUUAACGGCUAUCUUAAGGAAGAACUGUAUAUGAUGCAGCCGGAAGGUUUUGUCGAUCCCGAGAAUGCUAACAAGGUAUGCAAGCUCCAGCGAUCCAUUUAUGGGCUGGUGCAAGCAUCUCGGAGUUGGAACAUUCGCUUUGAUGAGAUGAUCAAAGCGUUUGGGUUUAUGCAGACUUAUGGAGAAGCCUGCGUUUACAAGAAAGUGAGUGGGAGCUCUGUAGCAUUUCUCAUAUUAUAUGUAGAUGACAUACUUUUGAUGGGAAAUGAUAUAGAACUUUUGGACAGCAUUAAGGCCUACUUGAACAAGUGUUUUUCAAUAAAGGACCUUGGAGAAGCUGCUUACAUAUUAGGCAUCAAGAUCUAUAGGGAUAGAUCGAGAUGCCUCAUAGGUCUUUCACAAAGCACAUACCUUGAUAAGAUAUUGAAGAAGUUCAAUAUGGAUCAGUCCAAGAAAGGGUUCUUGCCUGUAUUGCAAGGUGUGAGAUUGAGCUCGGCUCAAUGCCCAACCACGGCAGAAGAUAUAGAAGAGAUGAGUGUCAUCCCAUAUGCCUCAGCCAUAGGGUCUAUUAUGUAUGCCAUGCUGUGUACCAGACCUGAUGUAAACCUCGUCGUAAGUUUGGUAGGAAGGUACCAAAGUAAUCCCGGCAAGGAACACUGGACAGCGGUCAAGAAUAUCCUGAAGUACCUGAAGAGGACUAAGGAUAUGUUUCUUGUUUAUGGAGGUGACGAAGAGCUUGUUGUAAAGGGUUACGUCGACGCUAGCUUCAACACAGAUCUGGAUGACUCUAAGUCACAAACCGGAUACGUGUAUAUUUUGAAUGGAGGGGCAGUAAGCUGGUGCAGUUGCAAGCAGAGCGUCGUGGCGGGAUCUACAUGUGAAGCGGAGUACAUGGCAGCCUCGGAGGCAGCGCAUGAAGCAAUCUGGAUGAAGGAGUUCAUCACCGACCUAGGAGUCAUACCCAAUGUGUCGGGGCCGAUCACUCUCUUCUGUGACAACACUGGAGCUAUUGCCCUUGCCAAGGAGCCCAUGUUUCACAAGAAGACCAGGCACAUCAAGCGUCGCUUCAACUCCAUUCGUGAAAACGUUCAAGAUGGAGACAUAGAUAUUUGCAAACUGCAUACGGAUCUGAAUGUCGCAGAUCCGUUGACUAAACCUCUUCCGCGAGCAAAACAUGAUCAACACCAGAACUCUAUGGGUGUUCGAUUCAUCACAAUGUAACUAGAUUAUUGACUCUAGUGCAAGUGGGAUACUGUUGGAAAUAUUCCCUAGAGGCAAUAAUAAAAUGAUUAUUAUUAUAUUUCCUUGUUCAUGAUAAUUGUCUUUUAUUCAUGCUAUAAUUGUGUUAUCCGGAAAUCGUAAUACAUGUGUGAAUACAGAGACCACAACAUGUCCCUAGUAAGCCUUUAGUUGACUAGCUCGUUGAUCAACAGAUAGUCAUGGUUUCCUGACUAUGGACAUUGGAUGUCGUUGAUAACGGGAUCACAUCAUUAAGAGAAUGAUGUGAUGGACAAGACCCAAUCCUAAGCAUAGCACAAGAUCGUGUAGUUCGUUUGCUAGAGCUUUUCCAAUGUCAAGUAUCUUUUCCUUAGACCAUGAGAUCGUGUAACUCCCGGAUACCGUAGGAGUGCUUUGGGUGUACCAAACGGCAUAAUGUAACUGGGUGACUAUAAAGGUAUACUACGGGUAUCCCCGAAAGUAUCUGUUGGGUUGACAUGGAUCGAGACUGGGAUUUGUCACUCCGUAUGACGGAGAGGUAUCUCUGGGCCCACUCGGUAAUGCAUCAUCAAAAUGAGCUCAAAGUGACCAAGUGUUUGGUCACGGGAUCAUGCAUUACGGUACGAGUAAAGUGACUUGCCGGUAACGAGAUUGAACGAGGUAUUGGGAUACCGACGAUCGAAUCUCGGGCAAGUAAUGUACCGAUUGACAAAGGAAAUUGUAUACAGGGUUACAUGAAUCCUCGACAUCGUGGUUCAUCCGAUGAGAUCAUCGAGGAGCAUGUGGGAGCCAACAUGGGUAUCCAGAUCCCGCUGUUGGUUAUUGACCGGAGAGUCGUCUCGGUCAUGUCUGCGUGUCUCCCGAACCCGUAGGGUCUACACACUUAAGGUUCGGUGACGCUAGGGUUGUAGAGAUAUUAGUAUGCAGUAACCCAAAAGUUGUUCGGAGUCUGGCAUGAGAUCCCGGACGUCACGAGGAGUUCCGAAAUGGUCCAGAGGUGAAAAAUUAUAUAUAGAAAGUCAGGUUUCGGCCAUCGGGAAAGUUUCGGAGGUCACCGGUAUUGUACCGGGACCACCGGGAGGGUCCCGGGGUCCACUGGGUGGGGCCACCUAUCCCGGAGGGCCCCAUGGGCUGAAGUGGGAGGGGAACCAACCCCUGGUGGGCUGGUGCGCCCCCUCCCCCUUGGGCCCCCCUGCGCCUAGGGUUGGAAAUUCUAGGGGUGGGGGCGCCUCCACCUGGCUUGGGGGGCAAGUUUCCCCCCUGGCCGGCGCCCCCCCUUGGAGAUUGCAUCUCCUAGGGACGGCGCCCCCCCUAGGGGCCCUAUAUAAAGAGGGGGGAGGGGGCAGCCGCACCCAUGCUCUUGGUGCCUCCCUCUCCCUCCGCAACACCUCUCCCUCUCGUAGUGCUUGGCGAAGCCCUGCCGAGAUCGCUGCUGCAUCCACCAUCACGCCGUCGUGCUGCUGGAUCUCCAUCAACCUCUCCUUCCCCCUUGCUGGAUCAAGAAGGAGGAGACGUCUUCCCCAACCGUACGUGUGUUGAACGCGGAGGUGGUGUCCGUUCAGCACUAGGACCUUCGGUGAUUUGGAUCAAGACAAGUACGACUCUCUCAACCUCGUUCUCUUGAACGCUUCCGCUCGUGAUCUACAAGGGUAUGUAGCUGCACUCCUAUCUCUCGUUGCUAGAUGAACUUCAUAGAUUGAUCUUGGUGAAGCAUAGAAAAUUUUUAUUUUCUGCAACGUUCCCAACAGCUUUUACCUCCUUCGAGAGGGGCUUGAACUCGUAAACUUGUGCGUACAAUCUCGUCGUAGCUAGGGCCUUGCCUCCUCAUACGUACCCCCUACUCUUACUGUCAGACUUACAACCACGACAGAUAGUUAGUGAUAUUCUGUUUAAGCUAAUCUCUUAUCUCUAUCUCCCCUUGGAGUCCUCCUGCGGUUAGCCUGGCUGCCGAAUACUGUAACCUAUCAGAGACAUCUCUCGAUCAGAUCAAUAUAAACCAAUGCGAGUCCUCUAUUUGAGAGUUGAGAUGCUUCCACAAUCUUCACAUGGUAAUCAAAGCCUCCCUCUUCCACUGCAUCUAGCAACCAUCUUCUCAAUCGCAUCAUCCAGCCUCCCAUCUUCCCAUCACACCCACUAUUUCUUUCUCCAGCCAAACUAUCUCCACCGGCCUGAACAAUACCAUCUCCGAGCCUCUCACAAGAACCAACUAUAUUAUAUCGCGAGCCCAAGCUCGCUCCCAGACCAUGGGGACAGGGCUAUAUGGGUAUGUCGAUCAGACCAUUGCCGAGAAACCAAAAACCAUUGUUACCAAAACCUCCAAAGGGAAGGAACAAACCGUUCCUAAUCCGGCCCAUAGCCCUUGUCUUACUCAAGAUGCAGCGGACAUUCGGACAAGGAGGACGCAGAAUAAGUCCGGUUGUGUCCGCUUCGGACCCAAAUCUGACCCAAUUUGCAACGAAAAUGCGUCCAAACGCAAACAGAAUGAACAUAAAAUGGAAAUGGAUGUCCGCUUGGGCAUCUUUUUUGUCUGGGCGGACAUAAACGGAUGCGGCCGGACCAAAUGGGUCGUCGCAUUGGAGUUGCUCUAAGAGAUUGGAAAUUUUCUACGGACCUACCACAACCAUGCUAGGUAGUAGUAUGAUGGAUUGUUUCCCAUAUGUCUGUCAUCUAAUCAUCGAUGUAUGGUUGAGAGGCAUUUGGUUCUCUUUAGCGAAUUACACCAAAAUAUAUUUUCCUAGACUUUCGACUGCUACAAAAUUUAAGGCCCCAACUUGUUUUCUACUCUGCAUUGAGAGGUUUGGGGUCUUGCCAAAAGUUGGAGGUGUUGGUGCUAUUUUUAUUUUACUAGAUGACCCGGUUGCGCCAAUGGCGCAAGAAGCCAAUUCGAAGCAAUGUUAGUGGAGAGUAAGAGAUGUAGAUGGAAAGAUAAUGCAAUGUGGAUUGUAUUGCAGACAAUAGAAUGACUUAAAUUGGUUUACAGAUAGUAGAAUAACUGAUAUCAAUUUACAGAAAUAGACUUAUAUAUAGGCAGCCUCACAGCUUAUUUAGACAUCUUCUUAGUCCGGUUGUGGUCUUCAGAGGAUAUGUACACAUAAGCAAAGUGUUAGUCGUCGGAUAAUGCUUGCAUGGUAGACUUCCACACAGGUACUUGAAGGCCUAUAAAAGGUGUUGGUUCCACUGCCACUCCAUUUGGAGUAGCCCAUAUAGUUAUUAUCUCCGCAAUAUCUUUGCUUUCAUUGGUCCAUAUGACACACGUGUAGAACCAUAUAUCAAGGAAAUCACCAACAUGAUAGUUAUUGUUCUCUAGCUUGCAACAAUGAAUCAGGAUGUCUUCCAUUAUAGGUGAGGUGGGUUGUUGGUAGCCCUGUAAUCCUUAUCUCAUCUCUUCGAGAGAGGAUAUGUGAUACUGCACCAAUAGACACGAUGAGAGGACACCAAGCAACCUGCGGUAGACAGAAUAAAUGGCUUAGGAGGGGAAAACAGAAAUGAAAAGAGUGUGUAUAAUAAUCAUACUACACAAAGGAUAAGUUAACUAUGCCUGCAAUCACCAUGGAUAGAAUUAGUAACAUCUAUCUGUUUCUUGAAUGGAACGCAGGUGAAUGCAUCUCCAGUAAGAGAAGAAUAGGUAGUGAGCACACAAGUUUGCACUUUACACAGGUAAGUAAUUGGAUCAGGUCAUCAGGUUUGCUAAUGAGGUUAGAACAAAAGUUUGGUAUCAAAAGUAACUUAAUACAAUUGCAGAGGAAAGGUUUUGUAAGAAAGGUACUCUGUAAGCAAUUUCUUCUGGUCAAAACAGAUGCAAAGCAAAGGUGUGAAAACAUCAGUUUAUCUUGGUUUUUAGGCCUAUUAUCAAACAUCUUGGUUUUUAGGCCUAUUAUCAGACAUCUAGGUUUUUAGGCCUAUUAUCAAACAGCCUAUGAGUGUCACAAAAACAGUGAAGUAGAUAAAAUCUGGGAGUUAUUCAACUAAGUUUGACAAUACAAAGUUUAUUUCCUGUGAAAAAUACAUCAUCUGGUUUUUAGGAAGAUCCAAUAUACAAACAACAAAUGGUUUAAUUUACAUGUGUCAUCGCCAUUGCAGAACUAAAUACACCUAUCCCAGAUCCUUGCACCUAGAGCAGAGAAAUAAUUUCAAGUAAAGAAAAGCGGGAACGAUUGUUAAGGAGGUAUUUUUGUCGAGGAUGUCAGCUGCAACCUCCCAAAGCAUAGGGACAACAUAAAUUAGGGGUUCACUAAGAGUAUUAUGUUAACAAUCUGGUCUCACACAUAGCCUAAGUAUAUACUCAUAGGCAUGUUCCUUAGUAUAUAACUAAUAACAAAGACGCAUUGUCGAUCAAUUAAACCAAAGUUAAUAGUGCAGCGUGUUGUCUGUAAAGUCAAGUGACCAUGCAGUUGUUUUUCCUGGGAUAAAGAUGGUGUGAUCUUCUCCAUGGUCUUUAGUUUUCAUCUUUCAGCCUAUGUAUAUGAAGUCUUGGUUGACCUGCACUUCAAUUGAUAGUUUGGUAAAGCCUUGUACUAAAAAGAUCAGAAAACAAAUUGGUGAUUAGCAUGUACUGCUCCAAGAAACCUGGAUCACCAUCUGAAUGAAAAUGCACCUAAAGGAAGGUGUAUCACAAUUUCUUAGUCCAUUCUCAUUCAUAGUAUUCUCCCUGAUGAUUUCUCAAGAUGUUUCAGUAUAGAUCUUUGGCCACAUAUGUCCAAUACAAAGUUGUCAUAUGCAAUGGAACACAUGGUACAUGAUCACAUAUAUUAACAAACUAUCUUCAGAAGAUUGGAUGGAAACCUCCUAACAUAAGAAAAUCUUUUGAUCUAAGUGCGUGUUUCUUCUAAGGUGGUCAGCAAACUGGACCCUCACAAAAGAGCUAACAUAGCAGAGAUAAAAACUAAUGAACUGAAGACAACCUCAAUUAGGACCUAUAAACCUCUCAGAUGUCAUCGAAGCAAACUAUCAUGUACAGAUCAUUGCCAACGUUCAUCUUGAAUGUAAGCAGGACAUCCAUACCAACCUCAAGUCCUGUUUUUAGGAGAAAUUUAUUGUAUCCAUGUUAAUCAAGAUGCAGACAUCAUGUGAUUGUUCGUCAUACUCGGUCCUAGAUAGUGAAGCGUUGUUUGCCAAACUGUAGUCCCACCAGUCCGUGCUUGGGAUAUUCAAACGACAAGCUACUUCCUUUGGUAUUUUCUGGGCGACCAUAUAUUACACCCAAAAAAGAGUGAGUGUUAUGAUCCCAGUUAUGAAAAUGGCACAAGAACAAAAGGAGAACAAGAAAAACAAAUGCAUCCUAUAGGGCGAAAUAGAUCGAAAAAAGAGUGUGCAACAGAAUGCAUGUAACUCAACCUAAGGUGACCAGAUCACACAUAUUUAGAUAUGUGAAACUGAAGUAGGCACGACAAUGAGUGAGAUAGAUGAAAUACAUGUGUUCACCGAAGUAGGUACAGAAGGUGAACUCGUUGUGAGAUACGCGAUAUAUAUGUAAUCAGUGAAAUACUUCAUAAAGUGAAAUUGAAAUAGGCACCCAAUACGAAAGACCGGGAGUAAUAGGGAAUUCUAAAGAGCAAACACCAACCUUGGUAAGCAGAUCAGCAAACGAAGAGCAAUCAGAUGACAAGGCGAGGAGAUCCAGUCAAACGAAAAUGAAUCAAGAGAGGAUGCAUUAAAAUAACAAGCAGAUGGGCCAUUGAAGUAUGCAAACCAUGGAUUUAUGCCUGCAGUUACCAUAGUACAUUUUGGCGAAACUACGGAAGAAAAGGUCUGAAGAUUUUGGCAAUCUAUAAGUCAUAUGAUUGUGUAGAACUUACACACCUAAAGGGAUUAUCUAAGCACAAACCAGCACGAGAUGCAAACUAAUAGGGCAUGAUAAACUUAUUUGAAGGAGAAGGCGAACCAUGACAACACUGAUCGAACAAGGUAUACAGAAUCAGUAAAUUGCAUAUGUUCUUUUGAUGAAUAUUGCAAAAAUGGUACAAAAAAGGGCAUGUUCAGGUGCGCAAUUUCUAUGGCAAGACAAGCACCAAACAAAACAAAUAGAGAAAGAGGUAACUUAAUACCGUAAAUCCAAAUAACAACUUAUCGCAGGAGCAACACAACACCGACUACAAUCAAGAAGAAUGCACCUGAACUGAAGCAUAGGCUAAAGAUAAAUUCAGAACAUGGGUAUUCUUAUAGCUUUAUGCCGCUACUCUAAAAUGCAGAGUCACCGAAUCCCAAAUUUCAGAACCAAUCCCAUAAAUUCAGAUCUACUACAUCAACCUAUCACAGGAAAUACACAGGUUGUCAUGAUACCCCUAAAAAAGGCGCUCUUGGAGGCAGGCAGAUUGGUCCGGACGCCCUCGUUAUUAGCAUAAUUGAUUAACUAUCAAAUGGGUAUCCACUCAAAUUAUCUAAAGGGAGAUUAUUCUUUGUGGUGAUCCACAUGCUAUAAAUUUUCAAGUAAUGUUAUACAUGAAAUGGAGGUUAUAUGAUUAACUAUCAUAUCAACAUCACUCAAAUUAUCUGAAGGGAAACUCAAUAUUUUUCAGGCUAAAGCACUGAAACGGAGGAGCUACCCCACUUUUCUUUCUUAUACAGAUUAUACAUGAAAUAAAAUGAAGUAUACAUGGUGUAAAUGAUUAGUGAAUUGCUCCUCCCUAUCCAGACGAAUUAAUUUCAACCACCAAAUCACAGCAAAGAGGACGAAAAGUGAAUAAAUUGGAUGAGAAGGAGCUGCAAUACCUGUGGAUGGGUUGGAGAUAGCGAGGUCGCCGGCAAGGACGCCCAUCCAAUCAUGUUUAUGUUUUUGUGAAACCUGAGAAGAAUGUGAAAACUGAGAUGCAAGUAACACCAUAGCUUCCUUUUGUUUUGAUUCUGCUGAAAAGUCCCAUAGCAUGAUAUCUUCAGAACAACAUGUGGUGUGCCGGUGGCAUCCAAACAAAAAGAUUUGGAACAGGGAGAAUAGAAAUACACCAAAAGAGAUCGUCGUCUUUGAAUUUUUUUUCUCACGCCUGGCCUAAUUGCAAAGAUAUUUUUAAAUGCCCACAUAUUUAUUUAGCUGAUUNNNNNNNNNNNNNNNNNNNNNNNNNNNNNNNNNNNNNNNNNNNNNNNNNNNNNNNNNNNNNNNNNNNNNNNNNNNNNNNNNNNNNNNNNNNNNNNNNNNNNNNNNNNNNNNNNNNNNNNNNNNNNNNNNNNNNNNNNNNNNNNNNNNNNNNNNNNNNNNNNNNNNNNNNNNNNNNNNNNNNNNNNNNNNNNNNNNNNNNNNNNNNNNNNNNNNNNNNNNNNNNNNNNNNNNNNNNNNNNNNNNNNNNNNNNNNNNNNNNNNNNNNNNNNNNNNNNNNNNNNNNNNNNNNNNNNNNNNNNNNNNNNNNNNNNNNNNNNNNNNNNNNNNNNNNNNNNNNNNNNNNNNNNNNNNNNNNNNNNNNNNNNNNNNNNNNNNNNNNNNNNNNNNNNNNNNNNNNNNNNNNNNNNNNNNNNNNNNNNNNNNNNNNNNNNNNNNNNNNNNNNNNNNNNNNNNNNNNNNNNNNNNNNNNNNNNNNNNNNNNNNNNNNNNNNNNNNNNNNNNNNNNNNNNNNNNNNNNNNNNNNNNNNNNNNNNNNNNNNNNNNNNNNNNNNNNNNNNNNNNNNNNNNNNNNNNNNNNNNNNNNNNNNNNNNNNNNNNNNNNNNNNNNNNNNNNNNNNNNNNNNNNNNNNNNNNNNNNNNNNNNNNNNNNNNNNNNNNNNNNNNNNNNNNNNNNNNNNNNNNNNNNNNNNNNNNNNNNNNNNNNNNNNNNNNNNNNNNNNNNNNNNNNNNNNNNNNNNNNNNNNNNNNNNNNNNNNNNNNNNNNNNNNNNNNNNNNNNNNNNNNNNNNNNNNNNNNNNNNNNNNNNNNNNNNNNNNNNNNNNNNNNNNNNNNNNNNNNNNNNNNNNNNNNNNNNNNNNNNNNNNNNNNNNNNNNNNNNNNNNNNNNNNNNNNNNNNNNNNNNNNNNNNNNNNNNNNNNNNNNNNNNNNNNNNNNNNNNNNNNNNNNNNNNNNNNNNNNNNNNNNNNNNNNNNNNNNNNNNNNNNNNNNNNNNNNNNNNNNNNNNNNNNNNNNNNNNNNNNNNNNNNNNNNNNNNNNNNNNNNNNNNNNNNNNNNNNNNNNNNNNNNNNNNNNNNNNNNNNNNNNNNNNNNNNNNNNNNNNNNNNNNNNNNNNNNNNNNNNNNNNNNNNNNNNNNNNNNNNNNNNNNNNNNNNNNNNNNNNNNNNNNNNNNNNNNNNNNNNNNNNNNNNNNNNNNNNNNNNNNNNNNNNNNNNNNNNNNNNNNNNNNNNNNNNNNNNNNNNNNNNNNNNNNNNNNNNNNNNNNNNNNNNNNNNNNNNNNNNNNNNNNNNNNNNNNNNNNNNNNNNNNNNNNNNNNNNNNNNNNNNNNNNNNNNNNNNNNNNNNNNNNNNNNNNNNNNNNNNNNNNNNNNNNNNNNNNNNNNNNNNNNNNNNNNNNCAGCUGAAAAAUGGGCAAUCCAGAAAUACUUGACUCGUAUAGUCCAGGGAUCGCAAAAGUAGCUAAUUCAAUAUCUAGACUCUGAGUGUGCAAUGAACAAUUGUAGAGUUGGCAAGGACAUAAAUCCUAGAGUAAAGAUAUUGAUAUUAAAUAAAUGAACUGGGAAUGAAGAGAAGGGGGACCUCACUGUCCAUGGCUAAGCAAAACAAACUUACAUGUAAAGAUGUGGCAUAGGUGUGCAUGUCUCGCCGAGUGAGAUACCUGUGGGUUGCACAUAAUGAUGCAAGAGUAGUCUGUCUCCAGAAAACUUCAAAGAUACACGACCACACCAAAGUUCAAGUCAAAAUUAGUUAUGUACAACAGUACAAGAUGAUUCUAUGACUGGCAACCAAUUAUUCUAGGGUUAGACCAAUCAGUUCUCAGCUUACCUAAUUAGUUUGGUCUGCUAAGCAUUUUGUUCCUAAUGCAAUCUUCAAGUAUAUUGUGUAACCAAGUUAUUCAUUGGUACUAAAGAAAGAACAGCCUGUAAAAAUUAUCUGAGCAAAGUAGAAAAAAUAAAAAAAUUAGUAAAAAGCAAUAAAUCCUAAUCGCCAUCUCAGUCAGCAAUAUAAAAAGUUCUACCAUGAUUCUUCAAUGCAUUGCGAAGUGAGAUCCCAAUCCCAUUUUCAUCUCAAUCCUUCUCCAGAGCUAUUUUCCCCCAAUCUUUUUUGGCCAACAGUCUGUAGGAACAUAGUGGAACUUCCCCAAUCUUCUUUGGCCAUCAGUCUGUAGGACAAAAUGUAACUUCAAUGUAUAAGAGUAUGACAAAUAAAACAAUAUUUGCACAAACAAAGACGAAAUUUUCUAGGAAAUUAAAGGGUCAAGUGUAACAAGGCUGGGUGAAGUUUAAGAUGGGUAGGACGUUCCAUGUGAGGUCCGCUCUGUACAAAGCAUGAUCAUGCAUUAUCCUAUCAAUUUGACUACCCUAGAAAGAGGAAGCAAAUAUUGUACCCAUGCCAAACAGUGGCUUGAGAGAUGAAACACUUUAUGAUAUACUGUAUUUUAGUUGUUGAGAUGCAGUUGGACUGCUGAAUAAAAAAAAUUACACAGCACAGAGUCAGAGAUGAUGACUGAACUUACAUAUCUUUUGGAAGUGUUGAUUCAUCAGUAUUUGAAUACAGAAACAAUGAGCAACCACUCUCAACACUCAGAACCUCGAGAGAAGAUAUGUGUGUUCACUUAUAAUCAGUAAUCAUGAAGAUCUUAUAAUCAGUAAUCAUGAAGAUGUCCAUGCACGCACCUGUUUGAACAGCAUUAGCAACCUGUGAUAUGCCAAUCAGGAUACCUCACAAAAUAUUCACAGAAUAGAUCAAUAUGUAUGCAAACCAACAACUGCCGCAUCACUUUCUCACCUGCAACUUGGGAGCAGGCCGCCGCCGUCGACCACCGCGCUGCAUCUUGGCUACAUUUAUGAAUCAAAUUCUUAGAACCCUUGGUAUACUGCUAUCUGGCAACAUCACUUGCAACUUGGGAGCAGGUUGCCGCCGUCGACCACCGCUCUACAUCUUGGCUGCAUUUAUGAAUCGAAUUCUUAAUAUCCUUGGUAUACUGAACACAAUUUCAUUCAAAGUGCAUAACAUGAUCUAUGAACACAAUUUUAUUCAAAGCAUAUGAACCAAAUUGACUACUACUUCAACCAUUCAACUAACUGCUGCCGCCAUUUUGUGAAGUUAAUCUAGAAAAGUGGUUACAUAGAGCUAGAUCCCAAAAUAAUCACAUGAGGAAAGAAAAACUAUUUUUAUGCAGAAGAUGGGACAUCGUCUCUUCAUACCUCACCAUGGAACACCUCACCAACAAAUCGGUGCCAGGGGAGGUGGCCGCACGGAAAGAGGAAGCUCACCUUGGUGCUGGCGGCAGAUGCAGUAGUCGUCGCUCGAUGCGCAGCUCCCAAAGUCGUGCCUGCCGCCUGCUGCACCAUGCGUGGCGCUCACCGGCAAGGCACCGGCAGGACGAUGUUGGUCCAAGUCGCUGCCGUCCGCGUCCUUCCAGCUCGAGCUCGUCCAUGGGAUUUCAUCCGUUACCUUCACCUCGAGGGUGGCGAGAGAGCAUGGGGCGCAGCUGCUGCUCCCCUCCUCCUGUUGAGUCCUACUCGAGGGCGAGCUCCUCCUGCCGAGUCUCGAGGCCGAGCUCCUCCUGCUGAGGCCGGAUCGAGGCCGACGGGCGCCGGGAGAGCACGGGCGCCGAGGCCAAGGCGGUGGCGGCGGCAGGAGAGGAGGCGAACAAUGCCAAGGCGGCGGCGGCAGGAGAGGAGGCGGCUACGGGGGCGCGGGCUAGGUCUGACUGCUUUUCCUCUUUUCUCUCGCUGCCGCUUCUCCUUUUCUUUUGUCUCGUGCCCGCUCUCUAGGCCGCCCGCUCGCUCGCUGCUCUCUCUGAGCCGCGCACCCACGAGAAUGACAGAUGGGCCCACCACGGCUGGAGCGGAGGCGCCGCCACUGGGUGCAAACGAGGACGGUAAAAAAACGCCCUGCCAACCCACGAACGCCACUGGCAACCCACCAUCGAUCGCCCCCGCUUUCACCCGGACACAGCCACGCACACACCGUGUCGCUGCCAGGCUGGCCCGCGCGCAAAGUUGGCCCAUGCAUCAGUCGCUCUAGCCCGAUUCUGCGGCGUUCAAAAGAACGAGCUCCAGAUGUUUACCACGGCGAUGAAAAGUACGAUGUCAAUGGACAGCAGUGCGAACCGAACAUACAGGAUGAAUUUGAAAGUGCGAGGAUGCUGGAAUGGCGGAUAUUCUAGGAGGGUUUAUAUAUUCAAUUUUUGAGGUGGCUGACCAAAUUACCUCGAUUGAGAAGUCUUUCAAGAAAUCAUUUUUGCUGGAUUGAGGCUAAUCUGAGGGGUUUUGCGUGCCUCUUUUGAAACUUCUUAUGAACUACAACAGCAUGAUUGAUCAACAAACGGUCACUCAAAUAUAUCUGCAUUUCCAUAGCAAAGGUGCGAAGAAAUAUUGACUAUUUCUCCUUUACUUGGUCUAGCUCAAGUAUCACAACGAUGAAUGAAUAUAUAUAAAUUCAGACCAAAUUUACCAUAAAGUUCAAUUUGUAAGCAUUUUGCUGGUAGAUUAAAAAAACUGUCGAACUCAUCUCUUGAAUCAGAAAGAGAACCUCAGCUAAUACAUGCACGCAUUAUAAAAUUUGGGAACUCCACACAAAAGCAAAAUAUUAAAAACUCAAGGACAUAAUCAAUACUGAAUAAAUGGAUGACAUGAGUUACUGCUACAUUAUUACAUCAAGCAGCCAAACAAACAACAUUUAAAAAUAGCAAAUUUUAGUUAUUCUGGAUGUGUGCUGGCUCAGUUAGACGGUGCAGCGGCAGCCUCUCGUGCCUUGGCGAACUCAAGCAGCCUGCCCACGUCUGGCAGGGCCAUCUUGGCCGCGUCGAGCUCGCUGAAGCGCUCCACCCAUGCGGCCAGGAGCGGGGUCUUGGCGGCAUCGAAGAUCUUGUCACCGGACAACACCUCGGUCACCUUCAUCCACGACAGAACGCCUCCCAGCGCAACGUCGACGAGCCCGAGGCCGUCGCCGCCGAAGAAGCCCCCUCCCUUGGAGCAUUCCCUCAGGGCCCCUUCAAGAAUCUCCACCGCCGCGAACGCCUGCUUCUUUCCCUCGGAUUUCUCCUCCUCUGUCUUGCCCCUCAACCACUGCCUCCAUGGGGCUACCAGCUGAAACACGGAGAAAAAUAAUGGUCAAAGUUGCUCGUUGGAUAUCUAAAAGUAAAGGAACGGAGACAAGUAGUUCAAGUAAGUGAAGAUAAUUUAAACCUUGUCGUCAACGUAGGCCAUCCAGAAGCGAGCAAUGGCGCGCUCGUAGGGGUCCGCUGGGAGAAGGGACGGGCCGGUGUCGGCGAACACUUCGUCGAUGUACUGCAGAAUGAUCAUGGACUCGCAGACCGGGGCGCCGUUGUGGAUGAGCACUGGUAUCUUCUUGUGCACCGGGUUGGACUUGAGGAGAAGCUCGCUCUUCUUGUACAGGUCCUCCUCCACGUCCUCGUAGCUCAGGCCCUUCAGGGCGAGUGCCAGCUUCACCCUGGUAACAAACGGGCUUGGCCAUGUGCCGAGCAGCUUCAGGUCAUCUCGUCCGGCCAUCUCUAACUACCUCGAUCGAUGUUUUUUGUGUGUGUGUGUGUGUGUUUUGAAGACCACUGAGAUUGCUUUAGCUGCUUGUGCUUGUGCU
RNAcentral lists this long non-coding RNA (31492 nucleotides) under Triticum aestivum (bread wheat). RNAcentral's name for it is "long non-coding RNA (TAES_LNC011586)". The record is from RNAcentral. Lineage: Eukaryota; Viridiplantae; Streptophyta; Magnoliopsida; Poales; Poaceae.